CGUAGGGUCCGAGCGUUGUCCGGAAUUAUUGGGCGUAAAGGGCUUGUAGGCGGUUUGUCGCGUCGGAAGUGAAAACUCAGGGCUUAACCCUGAAGCCUGCUUCCGAUACGGGCAAACUAGAGGAAUGCAGGGGAGAAUGGAAUUCCUGGUGGAGCGGUGGAAUGCGCAGAUAUCAGGAGGAACACCAGUGGCGAAGGCGGUUCUCUGGGCCAGUUUCCUGGACGCUGAGAAGCGAAAGCGUGGGGAGCAAACAGGCUU
RNAcentral lists this ribosomal RNA (258 nucleotides) under uncultured bacterium. RNAcentral describes it as "partial 16S ribosomal RNA". It matches the Rfam family "Bacterial small subunit ribosomal RNA", at positions 526 to 779 of the family's 1533-position model. The record is from RNAcentral.